AUUGAACGCUGGCGGCACGCCUAACACAUGCAAGUCGAACGAGUGGCGGACGGGUGAGUAAUGUCUGGGAAACUGCCUGAUGGAGGGGGAUAACUACUGGAAACGGUAGCUAAUACCGCAUACCAUCGGAUGUACCCAGAUGGGAUUAGCUAGUAGGUGGGGUAAAGGCUCAACUAGGCGACGAUCCCUAGCUGGUCUGAGAGGAUGACCGGCCACACUGGAACUGAGACACGGUCCAGACUCCUACGGGAGGCAGCAGGGGGGAAUAUUGCACAAUGGGCGCAAGCCGUAUGCAGCCAUGCCGCGUGGAUGAAGAAGGCCUUCGGGUUGUAAAGUACUUUCAGCGGGGAGGCGUUACCCGCAUAAGAAGCACCGGCUAACUCCGUGCCAGCAGCCGCGGUAAUUC
RNAcentral lists this ribosomal RNA (406 nucleotides) under uncultured bacterium. RNAcentral's name for it is "partial 16S ribosomal RNA". It matches the Rfam family "Bacterial small subunit ribosomal RNA", at positions 30 to 526 of the family's 1533-position model. The record is from RNAcentral.